UCCAGAACAAGGGGUUCACGUGUGCAAAAUUGACAAGGUGGGAAAAGCCCUAUCAGGUGAAGGGAAAUGCAGGCGGUCCUGCAGGUGUGAACCGUGGCCUCUUUCUGCGGAGUGGAGGAGGAAGGAUGGCCAGAGGCCAGGGAGCAGAGCCCAGGGUGCGAAGGUUCGAAUCCCGAUUCCUCCACUUACUAAUGGUGAGCUUGGCCACCUGACCACCUCCUGGAGCCUCAGUGUCCCCGCCUGUAAAACGAGAGCCUUCCUGGCUUCUGCCAUUGGUUCCUGCGCAGUUCACAUCACCUACUGUCGGGAACGCGUCAGGCAUCAGGGUAACUUACCAGGUGCCGAGAUGAGUUCUAAGAGCGUUAACUGUGAUCGCUACAAUGGUGUUCCCAUGAGAGCCAGCGACUGGGUCCCAGACACGGUAUCAGGCUCUGUCCACGGUGGCGACUCUGGGGCAGGAGCCAUGGUUAUAAACUCCUUCUGGCAACGGGAGAGAGCGAAAUCCGGGAAAAACCAUCCGCCUCAUGAGACGGAAUCUGAUCCAAGUUCUUAACCCCUGCAAUGGGCCCGAGCCUCCGAGACGGACCGUGAGAAGCGAAGACAAAUAGAAUUCUGACCACAACGCGCUUUCACUCAAACGUUGACAUUCCCAGAAGGAAGAACCCCCAGCCGGAGACGACUCCUGUUGACGUAAGCGAGCAGAUCUUCCCAAUGCACAAGGAUACCUAAGCUGGGAGACUUUCUGCCUGUGAGCCGGUCUAUGUCCAAGUUUAACACCCCACCGGGCGAUGCUCUGCACUCCCAGGGGCACGUCAGAGACGAAUUUCCUCCGGUGAGAACCAAGUGGACCACGGCCUCCAAACGGCUCAGGGCCUGGAGUGGCGUCGGAUCCAUGCCCGCAUGCUCCACCCCUCCUUCCUGGUGAACGAAGCAUCGAUUGGCUGAGUGAAUUGCAACAGCAUCUGCUUCAAAAUCAGCCCAGGACCUGAUCCAGCCCCUUGCCUUUGGGCAAUGCUGUUUACUGCCCGGAGAAGCUGCUCCAUGUCGGAAGACUUUUGUUUCAGCCUGGGCUGAGUGUUCGGCCAAAUUUCUAACCACUUUCCCUUUCAUCGACCCACCCAUUAACCAUGCUGUCGCUCGCCUCCUCUGACCCGCUGGAGCCCGCGCACGCCUUGCGGUCUCCAGUGCGUCCCACUGGGUUUUCCCGCUUCCCUGCCCCUUGGUACUGCUAGUCCUGGGCUCGGCAAACGUUAUCUUUAAAGGGCCAGAGAGCAAACAGGCUUUGUGCACUGUCAGCCUCUGUGCAGUUCUGCCAACGUGGACGAAAACCUGGAGAUGCUCAACACGGAACCGGUAACUCCUGAACCGAUGCUGUCACCUGAGACCGGAUUCCCACAUAAUGACUCGAUCAGCCUUUACCGAGCAGUUAUUACGAGCAGAUUCUGCUUUCCGCAGAGAUUUCGACUGGCAGGACUGGCAGGAUGUUAGAGAUCACCUAGAGACCUCCUAGAAUGGAGACUGAAGACUGGCCGUGUGUUUCCCAGAUCUGAUCCACGGAGGAUUUUGUUUUUCGCUCAUCAGCUGUGUGACUCUGGGCAAGUUCCUGAGCAUCUCUGUGCUUCCGCUUUUUCACUGGGGAAGUGGAGCUGGAACUCACGUCACCGGAGUGUUAUGAGACCCACAUGAGUGUGUGCAGUGUUUAAGAUGGGGCCUGGAAUGACCUGA
Molecule: long non-coding RNA, 1725 nt
Organism: Phyllostomus hastatus (greater spear-nosed bat)
Lineage: Eukaryota; Metazoa; Chordata; Mammalia; Chiroptera; Phyllostomidae
Exons: 5
Source: RefSeq, a predicted model, not a curated record